Molecule: ribosomal RNA, 497 nt
Filed under: uncultured bacterium
Lineage: Bacteria
Description: partial 16S ribosomal RNA
Rfam family: Bacterial small subunit ribosomal RNA
Source: RNAcentral
GAUGAACGCUGGCGGCGUGCCUAAUACAUGCAAGUCGAGCGAACAGACGUGGUGCUUGCUCCUUCUACGUUAGCGGCGGACGGGUGAGUAACACGUAGGUAACCUACCUAUGAGACUGGGAUAACUUCUGGAAACCGGUGCUAAUACCGCAUAAUAUCUCUAACCGCAUGGUUCGAUUGUGAAAGAUGGCUUUGCUACACCUAAUGGUUGUCCCUGCGUCGUAUAAGCUGGUGGGUAAGGUAACGGCUUACCAAGGGAACAAUAAGUAGCCGACCGAAGGGGUGGACCGGCAACACGGGAACUGGGACACGGCCCAGAUUCCUACGGGAGGCGGCAUUAGGGAAUCUUCGGCAUGGGGCAAAGGCCGGACGGGCCAAGGCGGCUUGGUGGAUGAAGGUCUCGGGAUGGGAAAACCCUGUUAUAAGGGAAGACGAAAGGUGUAAUGAAAUGCGCACGAAGUGACGGUACCUAAUCAGAAAGCGACGGCUAACUACGUG